This is an RNA transcript of Cynoglossus semilaevis (tongue sole), 11476 nucleotides long. It is a transcript of the gene named OMA1 zinc metallopeptidase, with no coding region annotated. The record is from RefSeq and is a predicted model, not a curated record. Lineage: Eukaryota; Metazoa; Chordata; Actinopteri; Pleuronectiformes; Cynoglossidae. The transcript has 12 exons.
AGGUAAAUCAGGAAGUACAAACAUAGACGACGCGAUGUUCUAUCUCUCCGUCCAUUUGUUAGGGUGCAGCCGCCUCUCUCCUCUUCCUGCACACCUGGCCCGGUGUGACCCGGUCAGGAAACAAGUUGGACGUCUUUUGACGUCACCUCAUUUCAGUUGUCAGAAGUCCACGAACUCCGCUUCCUACGUCAGAGCCACUCCGACCUGGAGACCGUUAUUAUCAUAUAACAAUUGGUCGACCUUGCGUUGUACCAAGACCACCUCAUUUCUUCUGCGGUCUGCUCGUGUCCAAACACGGUGUGGACACUUUCACACCUCGGCCGCCCUCAGUGCUCUGCCUCCUCCUCUUCUGUGGCUAGUGCUGAAACCUCUCCAGAAGCUCAUAGCUAUAAUACUGGGCAGGAGUAUAAGGAAGUGGUGGGCUGCUCUACCUGACAACCGGCGACACCUGGUGCGUGAAUGGGCCUGGCUGCAUCGUUGGCAUCUGACAGCAGGGUUGGCCUUUGCUGUGGUGAUUGCAGCACUCCUUCUUCUGACCCACCUCGACGAGUCUCCAUUGACGGGCCGGAUCCGCCUCCUGGUCUUCAGCAGGGAAAAUUACAUGGAGCUGGCUGCUCUUACUUCAGAGGCAUACAUGGAGGAGUUUGCGGACCUUCUGCUUCCAGUCACUGACCACCGUCACGUGGUGGUAGAACGGGUGGUGCAGCAUCUGGCACAGAGGAACAAGGACAUCUCUGAAGUGUCCGAUGUCGCCUGGAGUGUCCAUGUGGUGCAGAGUCCCAACACCAACGCCUUUGUCCUACCAAAUGGGAAGGUGUUCAUGUUUACGGGGAUGCUGGAUGCUGUGACAGAUGUUCACCAACUCACCGUUGUCCUUGGACAUGAAAUGGCUCAUGCUAUCCUGGGACAUUCAGCAGAACAGGCCAGUCUGUCUCAUGUUGUCGACCUCCUGUCCCUCAUUCUGCUGACAGCCAUUUGGGCUGUGUGCCCUCGAGACAGCAUGGCACUGCUGGGCCAGUGGGCACAGACGAAGCUCACACAGUUUAUGUUUAACCGUCCCUACAGUCGGAAACUGGAGGCAGAGGCUGACAAAAUUGGAUUGCAGUUGGCUGCAAAGGCCUGUGCAGAUGUGAGGGCAGGACCUGUGUUCUGGCGGCAAAUGGAAAUCAGAGAGCAGCUGACUGGGCAGCCCUCUCUUCCUGAGUGGUUGUCCACACAUCCUUCCCACAGGAACAGAUUCACACAGAUGGACAGCCUUAUUCCAGAGGCUCUGGUCUUGAGGGAACGCUGCGUCUGCCCUGCUCUGCCUGCCUCUGACCCCCGAGUCAUCUUCUCCAGGAGCGUCCAGGUGUUACUGGAAAAAGCUCAAGGUCAGGGCCGAGGGGGGGCAGACGGUGCGGUCACAAGCCACGUGCCCCCCAGCACAGCCUCACUUCCCUCUGCCCCACCUGCAGCGCUUCUUCCUCAAACUGCGCUUCUUCCUGCUCCAAAUCUGGAUCAAGUCUUAGAUUCAAGCACAGGUGUAGCGCCACCAGUCUCUGCUCCUACAGGGGGCGUUGUACCGCAGGCCAUGGACACCAGAUAGAAGGUUAUAUCUCCACACACCUUUGCAGGUUUUUACUGAACUGGACUGGAAGAAGACAUCAGUAUAGUUGGUGUGAUGAAUCCUCAGCCAGUGAUUUUCUUUUACAUUUUCACAGAAUUUUUUUUUUUUUUAAUUUUUAAAAAACUAGUGUGGGUGCGUUGGACGAUGUGUUCGUUAAAAACUGGAGAAAAUCCGUCUCUCUUCUGAACCUUUCCUUGUCAAUAUGCUGCUGACUGAACUAGUUACUAUACUGGAGCCACAUUAAUUAGAUAACCUGAACAGGGAAAUGUUGAAUUAAUUAGGACAGCGUCCAUACAUUAGAAGAUUAAUAUGUGCAUUAUUCAUCAACACACUGCAAUGUGAUGAGAGUAAGCACUUUGUGCGUGCAUGUUAGAGGACGUGUCCAUGGAAGCCAGAGGCGUUCUCAUUAUGACGACUACAUUUCCAUGCUUCACACACACACACACACACACACAGCACUUUAUGCACACUCUGUCCAGAGGGGUUUUAAUGGUGCAAAUUUAUGCUGGGGUCGUUUGCAGGUUUUGAAAUGUAGCUUUUCUUGGGAUUUUUGUAAAAUCUUGUCUAACGAGGAAAGUUCAGUGAUAAAACAUUGCUGCAGAUAGAUUUACAGCAGGAGUCCCACAGUGAAGAAGGCAGGUACUGUUCACACUUCAAACAUCUAAACAAAAUCAUUCUUCUCACUGAUUGUAUUUUAAAAUAAAUGGUUGUGGUUUGGUUUUAUUUUCUUCAGAAAUGCCAUCCAGUUUCGACUUGCAAAACAUCCAGGAUCUUUUAGCUGCGGUGGAAGCUGUAUUUGAACGUAAGCAGGAGAGGUUAAGCUGCGUUGCUACAUUCAUGCUGAACCAUCUGAAUGCAGCUCCAUCACCACUAGCAGAGAAAUUGGAACUGGAGCAGCAAACAGAUGACACAUACACCCAGAGAUAUUCUACGGCCUACACAGGAGACAUCAGACGGCCCCCGAGACUUCCGGCAAUCUGCUUGCAGGUCCAGGUCUUGGGCUGGAGCCUGGAGUCAUUUGUCCCAGGCUGAUGAACUGAUGAUGAGCUGAUUUCUCUAAGUGACAUCUUCACCCUCAUUACCAUAAUGGAGUGGUCUCUUUCAACACGCUCGCCGCUCCAGGAAUCUCUCAUUUGUCUGACAUAUUGGCAACACGGAAAAGAUCCAUCAUCUUCUGUUCCUCUCCAUCUGUAGAUGUUUUUGCUCUUCCCCUACGUCUCCUUGACUGAAUCACACGACCACUUACUCACCGGUUCCCUGAGAAAUGACCUUCCUUGUUUACACACACACCUGUUCCUACUCUCCAUUAGCCUUGUUACCCCACUGUGCAGCUGUGACCCAAUUCAUGGACCGCAGCAGUAAAUGGGGACUGCACUGAGACGGCCUGAGCCCACCACAACUCACACCACUGUUUAACGGUCUAGCUGUGGAUACGUACGGACAUCACUUCUCCAGCUACACCUGCUGUUAUUACUCUCCUCUCCUAACUGGAUUCCAGGGCAGGGAUGCAACCGUUUGGUGUCUCCAAGACAAACACACUUGGAAAACAAAAAACAAUAUUGGCCCAGUUUUGUUUUUAUGUCAAAUUAUCUUUACUUUCCAGAUGAAAUUUCCAGUGUUUCACAGCCAGGCUGUUUUGUUUUCAUGGAGGUCCGCUGCUUUAGAUUCCGUUUCUCUUGUGAAGCUUAUGUGUAACAUACUUCUGUUUUGAAGCCACUCGCCUCUUGGUUAAGAAACCUCCAGCUCCAGUUGGCAUUUAUCAGGUUUCCAGUGAAAUUUGGCCUUAGAGGAGCUGGAAAGGUCUAGUUUGAAUAGUUUAUUAAAUUAUUAGCUGGACAAAGAAGUCUUCAUCAGGCUACUACCAUCCAAACCGCAUACAAAGUAGUUGUUGAACCGUAAAUGUAUUCAACAAUAUAUUCCAAAAUAAUAUUUAUAGUUUUUUUUGUAGGGGGGAAAUAUUUCAAAACUCUUGGGAGAAGUGAAAAAAUCUUGGAUAAUCUAUGCUUUAUUGCCAGUGUGUUGGUGACCAGAGAGCAAAUAUGUGAGUUCACGGGAGUCCAAAUCAAACACUAAUAUAUUCAAAAGAGUGUACCAAUUACUUUUUUAUGAUUAUCUCUGACCUGGAGGUGGAUGUGAAGAAUGACAAUUGGUUUUGCCCCAUGUCAUGAAUAUGAUUUUGCAGUAUGUGUGUGUGUGUGUGUGUUUACAUGUGUGUAUGUGUGCUCUGAUUGAAAUGCUGCAGCAGCAUGAUGAUGAUGAUGAAGAAGAUGAUGAUGAAGAUGAUGGCAGUGUGCUGUACUCCUCUCCUAUCAGUUAAUGAACUGUAGCCACUGUGAUUCCACUGACGGCACCAUAACUAAUAAAUGAAUGAUAUAAUGGUCUAUAAGCAGCCAUUGUACCUGCUCCUCUGCUGCUACGGCUAAUCCUCCUCCUCUUUGUUUUGAUAUAAUUUAAAUUUCUUAAUGGGAAUUUAAUUGUUGCCACACGUAUCUGUAAAUCUGAGGAAAGUGCUGAUUACCAGGGGCUUAAUGAUACCUGUUUGUAGAAGGAUGAUGAAGCUCCCAACAAACAUGUUGCAUGGAUUCAUUAUGCUGUGUAACCUCAGCCUGUCUAAUGGUUGUUUAUGCAACGGCUAAUUUAGAUGCAGUUUAGUCUUAGAAAUUAACUGGAGCUCCACAGACAUGGAGUUGAAUCUCUCAUCGUUUCUCUGCUCCUUGUGAACCAGAGGUUUGACACAAGGUUGUAGGGAGGGGGCAGAAAAGUGUUUUUGCCUCUGAAUGUGUGAUGCAACACGUCCAUUUCUUAGACAUCAAUGAUCAAUCAGUGGUUUGACUCCAUUUCCCAAAGAGAAGAAUUAAAGUGGCGUCGGUGCAGGCACCCAGAAACCUUUUUUAAUCAGACACCUGUGGCUGUAAUGUCUUAGAAAACUCACAGCCAGUGUGUCUCCAUUCUACAUCCUGAUGAUCUUGUUUCUUGGGAGACAUUUGAUGCUUUUUAACACUUGCACAAUGUGCCCAUCUUGUAGACCCUCUCUGUUCCUAGCCUGUUAUUUAUCAGGUCUUUUGAGAGUGUGUCUCUCUCGAAGUUGCCCUGUUUUUUUUAUUUUUCUUUAAAUAAGAGAACCAGAGGUGAAGGAAGGGUUAAUGUUCUGUAGAAAUAUAAAGUAAAUGUAAAAGUCAAAGUCAACCAUUGUACUUGACAGCUCAGUCAUUAAGUUAACCACACACCCUUCUUUAUCAUUAGCAGUAAUGUUGCAGCAGUCAUCAGCUACUGUGUGUUUGUAGAGAAUAAAAUAAUGAUGUUCCCAUGUGGAAACUACUGAGAGUAGAUAUUUUUCUGAAAACUUUGAAGUAAAUUCAAAAGAUUAUUUAACAUUAGCCGUUGACAUUAGCCAAAAUGCACUCAACUGCCACAAUGCCUCUCUCAAGGGAGAGCUGUGAUUGGCUGAGACCUGUGCCAGAUUUAUGACAAAUCAGACACCACCAUUUUCAAACACCCACGACUUGUCUAGGUAUUUUAAAUUGACCUAAAAUUGCAACAUUGAAUAAAUGUUUUCUCUUAAAGUUACUGCUCCUUUUCAGACUUGAUUAGUUUGCACCAAUUGGAUGAAGUCUGGUGUCGAUUGAUCUGCUCAGAUUUAGUCUGAACUCAGUGUUGAUCGACUGAUGCUGCAAUUAACUGCAAUUAUAUAUGUGCAUAUGUAUAUGUGUGUGUGUAUAAAACACAGAACUCCCCCUCACCUGUUUAUCCCCUCACUUCAGCCUCCCUUCAUUCUUUUGCUUGUCGCUCAGCAACCACAGGUAAUUAAUAAGCCUUUACAGUUCCAUCUGAUCUGCCUCAGGAUUUGACACAGCUGAUAAGUUAAAUGGAAUACACAUGGGCUUGCCUCUCUGUCGCUCUCUCUCUCUCUCUCUCUCUCUCUCUCUCUCUGCUCAGCACAGCCUGGGAAUAUAAUUACUUGAGAAUAAAUACGCAUGAGCUCACACACGAAUACACCCUUAUAACAGAGAGUGACUUAGCCAAGGUUAACACCGAUGUUUUUCCUCUUCUGUGCUCUAAUCAGAAAUGUACUGAUGAGUUAUUUGUCUGGAAGUUAGAUGCACUGAGCACUUGUCGUCAUUAUUCAGAGACUCAGAAAGCGGGAUAAUUAAAUCUAUUUAAUCGUGUGCCUUAGUGGGUGAAUGUGUGCAUGUUAAUAUCAUGCUCUGAUGCUUUUAAUGGCUCCGCCACAGAGCAGGAUCGUACUUAUAAAUGCCACUUAGACGGCCUGUGCUUAAAAGUAAUCCAUCUCCUCCGCCCACUGACAGUUGCCACACUUGCUUAUCAAUCUGCCCCAUGGCCACACUCACCAGCUGUCAAUAGGCUGCUGAAGUGGCUCUUCAUAACGCCAUCUCCAGGAAGAAGAUGGAAACUGUCAGGGAAUAUCAGCGGUCGUGACGUCACUAAUGUCUGCUGUAUGAACGUGCUGAAACCUCAGAACUGAUCUCUGUCCAGUAUCUGAAUGUGUUUAUGGAUCUGGAGUAUUGAACAUGCGGGAACAUAAUCCCAUUCUACACAUGCACUCACUCAGUGCUAAGAGCAGCACAGUCAGGUUUAUUGCUUGCCGUGGCCAUAGCAACAGCCAUGAGCCGGGAAAGAGAUGACUUUUUUUUUUUUAGUGGUGAUUCAGUGAACGUCCUUGUUCUGAUGAGAGAGGAGAGCUGGGGAUGAAGACAGUCAUGGAUGGAGAGGAAGGGGGAGGAGGUGGAGGAGGAGGAGGAGGAGUGAAGAAGCUGUUUCCUCUGCACACAGGCGUAGUUUGUGACAGACAAUUCAGGAGUUUGUCCUUUUCUUUAGCUGAGACUAACCUCAGUCCACAUCAGAGCAUUGUGAUGUGUUGGUAUAUAUGACGUUAGCUGAUUGAGGACAGUAGAUCGUCUGAUUUCGCUGUUGAACCUUUUCUUUCCUUAGUAAACUAAAACACCUGUCAGUCAGAUGUCCACAUGAACACGUGGUUUUAGCCAAUCCUAGACAGGGCUGACUGAGGCUGUCUGUGAUGAGGCGUUUGCUGCAUCAUGUGUCCUUCAUCAUGUGUAAUGCGUCAUCACACCUGUAACAUAGUCUAGAGUUAGAUUUUUCGAUUUCUCAUAACGAAAGUGUAGUCAACCAUUUUCUCUUAUGUUUUUCCAUUAGUUGAAAAACUCUCUUACCUUGGAGCAGUGGAGGAAAUCUUGGAUUAACACACGCUGUACUACAGAGUGUCUCAUAAUCAGACAAACCUUGAUGUGUGUGGACAGUGAGCUGCCGUCUUUCUCACGAGUGUCACUCGAUGACAGUGGUCUCCUGUUCCAGCUGUUUGAAGGCUGCGUCUUUUAAACUGUAAAUGGAGGAGACUGGACAGUGACAGUCAACCGUUCAUGUAAACCAGGAAUGAGCACACGCACAGUAACAUUACAUAACUUCAGGUGGCAAAAUGUUACCGUACACUACAGCUAUUGUCAAAAAUACUUUCAUUAUAACGUGGACGUGCAUGUUUUACACUUGUUGACUGUUUUCCAGCUACAUUCUGUUCUAGAGUAUAUCCAGCCUGUUUGGUCUGACAACAAAUUUGAACCUUUGAAUACUUGAAAUACAAUGUAUUUGUCAUUGUUGUUUUUGUAGUUUGUUACAGGCACAAACCUUAAAUCACCACUUUGUCCUUCUGUCUUGGCUAAAGCACUUUGACCAAAUACGACUUGGAUUUUGAUUGGAGUGUUCAAUGCAUUCACUUUUAGUGAAGUUUGUUUUUCAUUUGAUACAGUGAUCACGGAGAACAGCUAGACCAAACAAAUGUCAUGUGUCGAUCAUUUCUGAACAUCAUAUUUGCACUGUAAUGGAAUUGUGAAGGAAUGUGAUGGAGAACGUUUCUUCUCAGAGGUAGACGAGAUAAGGAGGAGCAGGAAAGUCCACCAUGAGAGUGCUGUUUUCUUGAAGUUACUAAGGAUUCUGCUGUUUUUCUGUGAUGUGCUAACUCUGAGUGAGUGAGUGUGAGGCAGAGCGGAAGGAGAGAGGCAGACGGGGAGGGGGACUGGGCUGCUGAGUCAAAGCUCCGCUGCGGUGUGUUUGAGCUAGCGACCCUUAGAGCUAUCUGGUUGUAUGCAUGCCUCCAGCUCACUGUGCUGCACACUGUAGCCACUUAGCUCCUUAGCCUCCCUCCACCACUUCUACACAACUGUCAGCCGGCAGCUCCAGUGUGCUGUAGCUGCAGUGAGGCUCUGCCGUCUCUGAGUGUCUCUGUUUGCAGCUGAGGAUUUUUGCCCUUGCAAGGAUACUCUGCCUUUCUGGCAAAGCAGAGGGGUGGAAAAAAAAGAGGGAGAGACUCAAGAGGUAAGAGAAGACGGGGCAGAGUGACAGCGGGCCAGCAGUGACCUUCGAGGUGUGGGGAAGAAGAGGAGGAGGAACCAGGGACAGAGGGAGAUCCAUCAGGUGUGUGUCAGCUCUUUACUGGAUGAGUAAGUUUACCGGUGCCGGUGACUCUGCAUGGACCGGCUUGUCUGAUCCUUUAAGAUGAAGUUAAAUAGUUGUGGAUGGAGACACAUUGACACCAAAGUAUGAAAAGGUCUGGUUACAGUUGGAAGUGUAGAGCUGUUGGGAAAUAACACUGACAUGAAUAAAGAUCACUGUACAGGGAUGAUGUAGAGGAGAUGACGGUCUGUGACUGGAGCUCAUUAAGGAUGUCAUGUCAUGUCUGUGUGUUUUUGUCCUCUGGGUUUUGACCUGGGCAGCAGAGUGAAAACGUUCUGUGUCCCAGACUGUAUACAGCACCACUGUGUUCCCCAGGUGUCUGUGUGUGGUUGGAUAUACAGUGUUAUUACAGUAGCAGCUAUGGUGACCUGGUGUCCUCAUUAUUGUUUGUGUUUAAGGAAGCUGCCCUUCAGGUCACCUGUACUUACAGCCCAUAAUUGCACGGUGGCAAAAACAACUACACCUCUAUUUAUUAUUGAAGAAUGAACCCAGUCUGGUCCCCUCCUGGAUUCAUUAUGCAUUUAUUUUUUAUUCUAACUAAAAAUCUUGGUAGUGAAAUCAGUCAUCAGAUUACAGUCCAUUUAAUUUUAAUCAGAUUGUGUUUUAAUAUCACACUCAUUCAUAUGUGUGGUGUCUACAGUCUGUGUACAGUUUGGUUUGUACUACUGGAUGUCAUGAACAGUUUUACUAACUAAUGUUUUAGAUCUUUUUGCUUCUCCCUCUGGUGCCACUGACUCUGUGUGCAUGUCCAGUAAUGCAGGGGGACAGAUAUCCAGUGAAAGAUCGGUGGAAAUGUCAAAAACACAAAGUGCAAGUCACUGUGUUACAGCCAGUGAGAGAUGAGCUGCACUAAACACUGUAUCUCUCUCUGUGUGUGUGUGUGUAGUGGGGAUGGACUCUCAGUUGGUUCACUCUAUCAUCACAGUUGACUGAGGUAACAACCAGACGUGGACCACUCCGAAUAAUCCAUAGACUCUGUGACUCAGCAGCAGACAAAUACGUAGCACCUCGGUAGAUUUUUGAAAAAACAAAAUGCUAGUCUGACCUCAGUGUUGCUGCUGCAGACUGAAUACUCAAUGUGAUAUCAGUACUGGCACUGAGAAAAUGUUUGCUGCAGUAGAGUAUAAAAAGAAAAUCAUAUUUUUAACAAAUGUUUUUGCUGUUGUUUUCACAUUUCUAAAACAUUGUCACCUGUUGUUUCUGUGCACACGUCAGCUCACUGUAGCAGAUAGACAGUCUGUCCUCCAGUCUGUCCUCAAGGCUGGGGAGGUCGGACCUGGUUGGAGCCAGAUAUUUCAAUUGCCUCAUCUGUUACUGCCUUCAAAGUUGGAAAAUAUUUAAGUUUCUUUUACAAACUUUGGAAUAAAUGAUAUUUGCAGGCUAACCUUUAAUCAAAUUACUGAUAAAAAUAUAAAUGAAUGUUGUUUUUUAAACAUUUUUGGACAACGUUGAGACAACAUUUUUAACCAGACUUGAAUGGAAACCUGUUAAAAUGAUAAAACGAUUGGUUUCAUUUAGUUCAAUCAGAUUAUUUGGUUGAGUUUAAAGAAACAGAACGUCAGUUUAGUCACUAGAAAAGGCCGAUGCACCACAAUACUACAAAAAAGAAAUUAUCUGACUUUUUUUUUAAAUUUGAUGUUGAUGUUGGACUUUUUUGUAAGCAGCAGCUUCAUGGUCAAGUUAAAGACAGUGUUUUGGAUGAGUUCACAGUCUUUGCUAAGGUAAACGACAGAAUGCUAUGAUGUUGUUAUAAGAUAUUUUUUGUUUCCGUCUUGAUGUUGCUCAUGUUUUUUUUUUGACAUACUGAAUAGUAACGAGCGGAGGUAUUACAUACACACUCAUUUUUCCCAUUACAUUGUCCAUGUGAAUCCUGUAACUAAAGACUGCAUCAUGAACAGUGUCCUUUUGUGUCCUCUAAGAGACCUGGGACAUAGUAAAUGAGGGACGGAGGGACUGUAACCAGAGGCCGACGUCCCCUCAUCUCUCCCCCUCUCUGCGGAGCUGCUUGGUGAUAUCAUGGCUGUAAUGAAGGCUCAUUUAUCUUCAUCUUGGCACAGUCUCAUCAUUCACAGUGGGACUGCUGGGUUGGUGGAGCGGGGCUCAGUAUGUGUAUUGUGUGGUGGACGUUCUAACAUGAGUACCAGAUUGACGGAGCAAUCAGUGAUGCAGACACUGACCCUUUGAAGCACCUGUUGAGCUCACUGUCGUGGCAAAUGAAUAGUUUCACAUUUGCUUUGGGAAAGGCCAGACUUUGUUUGGUCUGGACUGGGAGGACAACCUCUGAGCACAGGCUUAGAUCGAUAAACAGGUCCCAAUCAGAGGUCAGGUUGAGGAAGCGUUUGAGCCGUAAGCACACGUCACGACCGAUGAGCGAGGAGGGAACGUGUGAAAGGGUAGAGGCCGGACUUUGAGACAAACACACGUGAGGACACAUGUGGUCAAAGGCUAAGUAAUGCCAUCAUUGGCCCAAUGUCCUCAACUUUGAUUAAGAGGCUCUCUAAACACGGCCACACUCAGCACUGUGAUAGGCCAAGGUCACGGUGAAUCACAGCUCAACCCUGCAGAUUGCUGCUUAACUCUGUCAGGAAAAGGCAGAAUCUAAUUUGGCCGAGGGGCUUCCUUAGCACUUCACAUGAAGAGGACAAUUUACCUCGCCCUAGAGCUCUCCAAUGAAACGUGUGUGUGUGUGAGAGAGAGAGAGUAAAUGUCUGUUGGCCUGCAGCCUGGUGGGAUGAGUGUCUGUGUGCAUGUAUUUCAAUGGGUGUGUCUGUCUAAAUGGUUUUUUGCCCUUUGCUUCCUCUCUAUUUCCCCUUUCAGUGUGUGUGUAUGUGUGUGCGUGCCACGCAACUUGUCAGUAUGUAGUAAGUGUAGUGUAAUGUACUGUUUGUGAUUGGCAAGCCAUUGUAUUAGUUUGGGAAUAAUAAGAGUGUAAUAACUCAGUGACAUUUCCCUCCACAGUGACUCCCAGGUAAUCACAUUUACACAACGCAAUCACCGCCUCGCACGCCAGCGUCAGGACGGGACCACGCUCGUUUUCAUUUCCUCUCCAACUCUGCUUAUUUGCGCAUGUAGUAUGAGGCACUGUUGUUGCUGUUUGGAUGACGGUGCAUACUGUGUGACCCCCCCCCCUCCUCUCACCCCCCGACCAGUGCAGUAUUUCUCUGAAUUAGUGAUUGUUCAAAACAAACCUAACUGUUUUGUCUCUGUCUCAAUACCGUCGGAUGGUGGGAAGAUGAUUCAACUCCACAGUCAAUACAUUUGAUUUUCAUAAUUAUACUCCACAGUGGGAAGAAAUGGGGCAUAUUAGAAAAUGUCACAGGUUGUUGAAUCCUUGACGUCACCAUUUGAAUUCUAACAUAGGGAAAACAGUUUUAAUAUACCAUUAUA